RNAcentral lists this ribosomal RNA (2902 nucleotides) under Klebsiella quasipneumoniae. RNAcentral describes it as "23S ribosomal RNA". It matches the Rfam family "Bacterial large subunit ribosomal RNA". Lineage: Bacteria; Pseudomonadati; Pseudomonadota; Gammaproteobacteria; Enterobacterales; Enterobacteriaceae. The record is from RNAcentral.
GGUUAAGCGACUAAGCGUACACGGUGGAUGCCCUGGCAGUCAGAGGCGAUGAAGGACGUGCUAAUCUGCGAAAAGCGUCGGUAAGGUGAUAUGAACCGUUAUAACCGGCGAUGUCCGAAUGGGGAAACCCAGUGCAAUUCGUUGCACUAUCGUUAACUGAAUACAUAGGUUAACGAGGCGAACCGGGGGAACUGAAACAUCUAAGUACCCCGAGGAAAAGAAAUCAACCGAGAUUCCCCCAGUAGCGGCGAGCGAACGGGGAGCAGCCCAGAGUCUGAAUCAGCUUGUGUGUUAGUGGAACGGUCUGGAAAGUCCGACGGUACAGGGUGAUAGUCCCGUACACAAAAAUGCACAGGCUGUGAACUCGAAGAGUAGGGCGGGACACGUGGUAUCCUGUCUGAAUAUGGGGGGACCAUCCUCCAAGGCUAAAUACUCCUGACUGACCGAUAGUGAACCAGUACCGUGAGGGAAAGGCGAAAAGAACCCCGGCGAGGGGAGUGAAAAAGAACCUGAAACCGUGUACGUACAAGCAGUGGGAGCACCUUCGGGUGUGACUGCGUACCUUUUGUAUAAUGGGUCAGCGACUUAUAUUCUGUAGCAAGGUUAACCGUAUAGGGGAGCCGCAGGGAAACCGAGUCUUAACUGGGCGUUAAGUUGCAGGGUAUAGACCCGAAACCCGGUGAUCUAGCCAUGGGCAGGUUGAAGGUUGGGUAACACUAACUGGAGGACCGAACCGACUAAUGUUGAAAAAUUAGCGGAUGACUUGUGGCUGGGGGUGAAAGGCCAAUCAAACCGGGAGAUAGCUGGUUCUCCCCGAAAGCUAUUUAGGUAGCGCCUCGUGAACUCAUCUUCGGGGGUAGAGCACUGUUUCGGCUAGGGGGUCAUCCCGACUUACCAACCCGAUGCAAACUACGAAUACCGAAGAAUGUUAUCACGGGAGACACACGGCGGGUGCUAACGUCCGUCGUGAAGAGGGAAACAACCCAGACCGCCAGCUAAGGUCCCAAAGUCAUGGUUAAGUGGGAAACGAUGUGGGAAGGCACAGACAGCCAGGAUGUUGGCUUAGAAGCAGCCAUCAUUUAAAGAAAGCGUAAUAGCUCACUGGUCGAGUCGGCCUGCGCGGAAGAUGUAACGGGGCUAAACCAUGCACCGAAGCUGCGGCAGCGACACUAUGUGUUGUUGGGUAGGGGAGCGUUCUGUAAGCCUGCGAAGGUGGCCUGUGAGGGUCGCUGGAGGUAUCAGAAGUGCGAAUGCUGACAUAAGUAACGAUAAAGCGGGUGAAAAGCCCGCUCGCCGGAAGACCAAGGGUUCCUGUCCAACGUUAAUCGGGGCAGGGUGAGUCGACCCCUAAGGCGAGGCCGAAAGGCGUAGUCGAUGGGAAACAGGUUAAUAUUCCUGUACUUGGUGUUACUGCGAAGGGGGGACGGAGAAGGCUAUGUUAGCCGGGCGACGGUUGUCCCGGUUUAAGCAUGUAGGCUGGUUAUCCAGGCAAAUCCGGAUAAUCAAGGCUGAGGUGUGAUGACGAGGCACUACGGUGCUGAAGUAACAAAUGCCCUGCUUCCAGGAAAAGCCUCUAAGCAUCAGGUAACAUCAAAUCGUACCCCAAACCGACACAGGUGGUCAGGUAGAAAAUACCAAGGCGCUUGAGAGAACUCGGGUGAAGGAACUAGGCAAAAUGGUGCCGUAACUUCGGGAGAAGGCACGCUGGUGUGUAGGUGAAGCCCCUGCGGGUGGAGCUGAGACCAGUCGAAGAUACCAGCUGGCUGCAACUGUUUAUUAAAAACACAGCACUGUGCAAACACGAAAGUGGACGUAUACGGUGUGACGCCUGCCCGGUGCCGGAAGGUUAAUUGAUGGGGUUAUCCGUAAGGAGAAGCUCUUGAUCGAAGCCCCGGUAAACGGCGGCCGUAACUAUAACGGUCCUAAGGUAGCGAAAUUCCUUGUCGGGUAAGUUCCGACCUGCACGAAUGGCGUAAUGAUGGCCAGGCUGUCUCCACCCGAGACUCAGUGAAAUUGAACUCGCUGUGAAGAUGCAGUGUACCCGCGGCAAGACGGAAAGACCCCGUGAACCUUUACUAUAGCUUGACACUGAACAUUGAGCCUUGAUGUGUAGGAUAGGUGGGAGGCUUUGAAGCGUGGACGCCAGUCUGCGUGGAGCCAACCUUGAAAUACCACCCUUUAAUGUUUGAUGUUCUAACGUUGGCCCCUGACCGGGGUUGCGGACAGUGUCUGGUGGGUAGUUUGACUGGGGCGGUCUCCUCCCAAAGCGUAACGGAGGAGCACGAAGGUUAGCUAAUCCUGGUCGGACAUCAGGAGGUUAGUGCAAUGGCAUAAGCUAGCUUGACUGCGAGCGUGACGGCGCGAGCAGGUGCGAAAGCAGGUCAUAGUGAUCCGGUGGUUCUGAAUGGAAGGGCCAUCGCUCAACGGAUAAAAGGUACUCCGGGGAUAACAGGCUGAUACCGCCCAAGAGUUCAUAUCGACGGCGGUGUUUGGCACCUCGAUGUCGGCUCAUCACAUCCUGGGGCUGAAGUAGGUCCCAAGGGUAUGGCUGUUCGCCAUUUAAAGUGGUACGCGAGCUGGGUUUAGAACGUCGUGAGACAGUUCGGUCCCUAUCUGCCGUGGGCGCUGGAGAAUUGAGGGGGGCUGCUCCUAGUACGAGAGGACCGGAGUGGACGCAUCACUGGUGUUCGGGUUGUCAUGCCAAUGGCACUGCCCGGUAGCUAAAUGCGGAAGAGAUAAGUGCUGAAAGCAUCUAAGCACGAAACUUGCCCCGAGAUGAGUUCUCCCUGAGACUUUAAGUCUCCUGAAGGAACGUUGAAGACGACGACGUUGAUAGGCCGGGUGUGUAAGCGCAGCGAUGCGUUGAGCUAACCGGUACUAAUGAACCGUGAGGCUUAACCUU